CACGCGGCUGCUGAUGUAGACGAAAAGACACCGACUGCAAAUGUCACGUUCAGGUGCUGCUGAUGUCGACGCAGAGACACCGACUACAAACCUCACAAUCAGGUGCUGCUGAUGUCGACGCAGAGACACCGACUACAAACCUCACAAUCAGGUUCCUCUGUCCGUCUGUGUACAUGCAACUUGCGAAGGAUUUUUCUCGCGGACCGUGGGGUUUAUGUAAAAAAACAAUUAGCCUGGUAACACGCCGUAAGCCCCGUGCUUGGCAUAGGAUAU
Molecule: non-coding RNA, 273 nt
Organism: Petromyzon marinus (sea lamprey)
Lineage: Eukaryota; Metazoa; Chordata; Hyperoartia; Petromyzontiformes; Petromyzontidae
Source: RefSeq, a predicted model, not a curated record